Molecule: transfer RNA, 76 nt
Filed under: Bacteroidota bacterium
Lineage: Bacteria; Pseudomonadati; Bacteroidota
Description: Bacteroidetes bacterium tRNA-Gly
Rfam family: tRNA
About the family: Transfer RNA (tRNA) molecules are approximately 80 nucleotides in length. Their secondary structure includes four short double-helical elements and three loops (D, anti-codon, and T loops).
Source: RNAcentral
GCGGGAGUAGCUCAUUUGGUAGAGCGAUAGCCUUCCAAGCUAUAGGUGGUCGGUUCGAGCCCGAUCUCCCGCUCAA